AUGGCCCGGGUGGUUUGGAGGACGGUUGGGUGUGUGCUGGGCACAAACCUAUGUACGAACAAUCUUGGGCAAUAUUUCUCCUGGUGCUAUACUUUUCUACCUGAUGGGGUCAAAUUUUAUACUUUCGGCCUGGCAGCGAUGUGCUGGGCGAUCUGGAAUUGUCGUAACCAAGCCAUCUUUGAACAAAAGCAACUUAAGAUCCCUUUUAAUGUGGUGUUUUCUGCUUGUGGCUUUCUGACCUACUGGGCAGGUUUGAUGGCUGGUGUUGAUCAUGAAGCCAUGGAGCAUGGAGCAAAGAUGCUCAGGACGAACGCCUCGACCAUGAUGAGGAUCUGCGCGGCUCCAGCUAGAUCUGCGAGGGACUGA
Molecule: ribosomal RNA, 366 nt
Filed under: Triticum aestivum (bread wheat)
Lineage: Eukaryota; Viridiplantae; Streptophyta; Magnoliopsida; Poales; Poaceae
Description: partial small subunit ribosomal RNA
Source: RNAcentral